AUGGGCUACCGGGUAAUCUAUGUUUCUUUCCCUUUAAUGAAGCUGCGACUGAAAGAAUGGGAGCAGGUGAAAGGGGAGAAGCAGCUGUCGGCCACAGAGGAGAAACUGAAAUUAGCUGCAGAAGAGCUGUGGAACUACAAGGCUCAUGAUCAGGAGAGGGCAGUGGCAGAGCAGAGCAAGGAGGUGGCCUACUUGAAGUGCAGACUGGAAGUCAUCCAAAGACAGAGAGGCUUCCAGAGGAAUUCAGGAGGCACAAACCAAUGGCAAGAGGACCUGACAGGGAGAUCCCUCCAUGGAGAGGGAUGUCAUCUCCCCCAGAGAUCUCUGUGGCUUCGGACAGCAGGUCCAGAGAGGGAGCCAGGUCAACAUGGCUGCCAGAGCAUUUCCUUCUUUACCAGAAGUGCCCUCCAUGAGAGACUUUAGCCGAUCCAGAAGCUGGUGUCACUCCCAUGAGUCACAACAACAAGCACUCUACCAAAAAUGCCAAGAAGGACCAGGUAAAUUCUGGGGCCAUUUUCAGCU
RNAcentral lists this long non-coding RNA (522 nucleotides) under Felis catus (domestic cat). RNAcentral describes it as "lncRNA (ENSFCAG00000049490.1)". The record is from RNAcentral. Lineage: Eukaryota; Metazoa; Chordata; Mammalia; Carnivora; Felidae.